CAAACACUGAGCAAACAAAGAAGGAUCCGAUCCUUUAUAAGCAAUACAGCUCUUAAUGGAUGAUAGUGCAGGUUUUAGCCCUUUGCUACAAACCCUAACUGGGCCACCAUAGUACAGCUCUUACAUUAAAUUCAUAGCCUCAGUGUUCUCAGUACUCACACUUCCAAAUCGCUCAUUUCGUUGUUCUCUUCUAUUUUCACGCGGUUACUACUCUUUCACUUCUUUUCUUUUUUUCUUUUUUUUGGUUUUUGGGGGUUUUUUUUGGGUGUAAAACAAGUGUAACCUCUCCUACCUAGGGCUAGACCUAGUGCGUCCUUUCUUUACAUUUCUUUUCUCUCUCUCUCUCUCUUUUUCUCUGAUUUUUUGCGUCUUUUUAAACUUAUUCCUCAGUACUUAUUUAUGAUCUAUCAUUGGCUGCACUAACACUGCUUUUAGAGAGAAAGAUGGGACAUCACUCGUGCUGUAACAAGCAGAAGGUGAAGAGAGGACUAUGGUCACCAGAGGAAGAUGAGAAACUCAUCAACUACAUUUCAAACUAUGGCCAUGGUUGCUGGAGCUCUGUCCCAAAACUUGCUGGCCUGCAGAGAUGUGGAAAGAGCUGCAGACUAAGAUGGAUAAAUUAUCUCAGACCUGACCUAAAACGUGGGAGCUUCUCUCCCCAAGAAGCAGCCCUCAUCAUUGAACUUCAUGGCAUUCUAGGAAACAAGUGGGCUCAAAUAGCCAAGCACCUACCAGGGAGAACCGAUAAUGAGGUUAAGAACUUUUGGAAUUCAAGUAUAAAGAAGAAGCUGAUUUCUCAUGAUGUUCCUACCAUUGCCACCUAUCCUGAUAUGCACUACAAUGGUAACAGCGAGGAAGGUUUUUUCUCUCUAAAUGCAAACCCUAAUUGGAUCCUAAGCUCUCAACAAGACCAGCUAUACCUUCCCACUCCAACCCCAAUGUUGCAAGGCUUUGAUCAUGGUGAUCUUAAAUUAGAGCAAACCAAUUAUGGUGCCAAUUUGGUUCAAUUUCCACCCCCAAUGGCACCAUCAUCAAAUUCUUCUUCUUAUGACCCACUAUGGUCAUUAGGCUAUCAACCUCAUGGAAAAUUUGAUCCUAAUCAAGAACAUCAAAAUUUCAGCACUAGUGGAGCAACACAACAUUAUAUUGGUGAUAAACUUAUUGGUCCAAGUAUCUCGGCACCACAUUAUGAUGAGGAUCCAUUAACAUCCAUGAUUCCAAAACCUUGUGAUGAGAUUAUCAGUGGUAAUUGUUGUGGCAUGUUUUGCUCAUGUGCUUCACAAGACCAUGACCCACUUGCUAGACUCCCAUAUUUUCCAGCUGGUUGUAAUUAUCCACAUGAUACACAAGUGCCCAACAAUCAUAUGGAGUACAUGGAUGCCAUCAUGUCAUCAUCAUCAUCAUAUUCAUCAGCUUCAUCAUUGUCACCAUUAUCAAGCGGCCAAUUUGUCACAAACUCUAAUCUUCGUUCAAGCUGGGAGACAUAGACAUGCUACUCUGUUGGAGUUUGGUUCUGUCUGUUAAUUGUUGGAUCUAUAAUCUGAUACGAUGCAUUUAUUUCUAGUUAUGUGCACAAGACAUAAGUGAAACUUCUUUGAAAAACAUAAUGUUUCUAUAGCUAAAGUGAGUAACGUUGGCUGAAGUUCAAAAAAUAUGUGUAGGUUAUUCAAGUUUGUCAACUUAAUUAAUAUAUUGUAUGAGUUCCGACUUCCUACUGCCUAGGAAAUUACUACUCGAUAUUUGUAGUUGUUCCCUUUGUUCAUCCCAAAAUAAA
RNA transcript from Quercus lobata, 1774 nucleotides. It is a transcript of the gene named transcription factor MYB24-like, with no coding region annotated. The record is from RefSeq and is a predicted model, not a curated record. The transcript has 3 exons. NCBI's taxonomy places the organism in Eukaryota, Viridiplantae, Streptophyta, Magnoliopsida, Fagales, Fagaceae.